GGGCCGUUAACUCAGGUGGUAGAGUAUCUGCCUUUUAAGCAGAGAGUCGCUGGUUCGAACCCAGCACGGCCCA
Non-coding RNA from Desulfobacula sp., 73 nucleotides. Lineage: Bacteria; Pseudomonadati; Thermodesulfobacteriota; Desulfobacteria; Desulfobacterales; Desulfobacteraceae. The record is from Rfam.